GAUGAACGCUGGCGGCGUGCCUAAUACAUGCAAGUCGAACGAAACUUCUUUAUCACCGAGUGCUUGCACUCACCGAUAAAGAGUUGAGUGGCGAACGGGUGAGUAACACGUGGGCAACCUGCCCAAAAGAGGGGGAUAACACUUGGAAACAGGUGCUAAUACCGCAUAACCAUAGUUACCGCAUGGUAACUAUGUAAAAGGUGGCUAUACUACCGCAUUUGGAUGGGCCCGCGGCGCAUUAGCUAGUUGGUAGGGUAAAGGCUUACCAAGGCAAUGAUGCGUAGCCGAAUUGAGAGGUUGAUCGGCCACAUUGGGACUGAGACACGGCCCAAACUCCUACGGGAGGCAGCAGUAGGGAAUCUUCCACAAUGGGCGAAAGCCUGAUGGAGCAACGCCGCGUGGGUGAAGAAGGUCUUCGGAUCGUAAAACCCUGUUGUUAGAGAAGAAAGUGCGUGAGAGUAACUGUUCACGUUUCGACGGUAUCUAACCAGAAAGCCACUGCUAACUACGUG
This 512-nucleotide ribosomal RNA is filed under the name uncultured bacterium. Its description in RNAcentral is "partial 16S ribosomal RNA". It matches the Rfam family "Bacterial small subunit ribosomal RNA", at positions 28 to 507 of the family's 1533-position model. The record is from RNAcentral.